AACGAACGCUGGCGGCAUGCCUAACACAUGCAAGUCGAACGAGACCUUCGGGUCUAGUGGCGCACGGGUGCGUAACGCGUGGGAACCUGCCCUUAGGUUCGGAAUAACUCCCCGAAAGGGGUGCUAAUACCGGAUAAUGUCUUCGGACCAAAGAUUUAUCGCCUUUGGAUGUGCCCGCGUUGGAUUAGCUAGUUGGUAUGGUAAAAGCCUACCAAGGCGACGAUCCAUAGCUGGUCUGAGAGGAUGAUCAGCCACACUGGGACUGAGACACGGCCCAGACUCCUACGGGAGGCAGCAGAGGGGAAUAUUGGACUAUGGGCGAAAGCCUGAUCCAGCAAUGCCGCGUGAGUGAUGAAGGCCUUAGGGUUGUAAAGCUCUUUUACCCGGGAUGAUAAUGACAGUACCGGGAGAAUAAGCUCCGGCUAACUCCGUG
This 433-nucleotide ribosomal RNA is filed under the name uncultured bacterium. Its description in RNAcentral is "partial 16S ribosomal RNA". It matches the Rfam family "Bacterial small subunit ribosomal RNA", at positions 29 to 507 of the family's 1533-position model. The record is from RNAcentral.